UCGGACCGCGACCUCAG
This 17-nucleotide ribosomal RNA is filed under the name Borinda contracta. Its description in RNAcentral is "Fargesia contracta partial 26S ribosomal RNA". Lineage: Eukaryota; Viridiplantae; Streptophyta; Magnoliopsida; Poales; Poaceae. The record is from RNAcentral.